RNAcentral lists this transfer RNA (65 nucleotides) under Dipodomys ordii (Ord's kangaroo rat). It matches the Rfam family "tRNA". Rfam says of the family: Transfer RNA (tRNA) molecules are approximately 80 nucleotides in length. Their secondary structure includes four short double-helical elements and three loops (D, anti-codon, and T loops). The record is from Rfam by way of RNAcentral. Lineage: Eukaryota; Metazoa; Chordata; Mammalia; Rodentia; Heteromyidae.
GGUGGCUCAGCGGUAGAGUGCUUGCCUCGCAUGCAUGAGGUCCUGGGUUCGAUUCCUCAGCACCA